RNAcentral lists this ribosomal RNA (468 nucleotides) under uncultured bacterium. Its description in RNAcentral is "partial 16S ribosomal RNA". It matches the Rfam family "Bacterial small subunit ribosomal RNA", at positions 28 to 507 of the family's 1533-position model. The record is from RNAcentral.
GACGAACGCUGGCGGCGUGCUUAACACAUGCCAGUCGAACGGAAAGGCCCUGCUUUUGUGGGGUGCUCGAGUGGCGAACGGGUGAGUAACACGUGAGUAACCUGCCCUUGACUUUGGGAUAACUUCAGGAAACUGGGGCUAAUACCGGAUAGGAGCUCCUGCUGCAUGGUGGGGGUUGGAAAGUUUCGGCGGUUGGGGAUGGACUCGCGGCUUAUCAGCUUGUUGGUGGGGUAGUGGCUUACCAAGGCUUUGACGGGUAGCCGGCCUGAGAGGGUGACCGGCCACAUUGGGACUGAGAUACCGGCCCGACUCCUACGGGAGGCAGCAGUGGGGAAUAAUGCAACAUGGGCGGAAGCCUGAUGCAGCAACGCCGCGUGCGGGAUGACGGCCUUCGGGUUGUAAACCGCUUUCGCCUGUGACGAAGCGUGAGUGACGGUAAUGGGUAAAGAAGCACCGGCUAACUACGUG